AUGAAAACCAAUCUCAAAGGAACAAAGAAAACAAUAAUAAAGCCCCAUUCAGCACUGAGCCGAGUCAUCUGGAAUUGGGUUGGGUUCCUUUUGGGUGGGCGGGUCUCUCAAAUGUUGUCUCUCCGUCUCUUUUCGGACUCCCUAACUCCACUGGAAACCGAGGAAAAGUGGGGAUUCUCUGCACACAGGACAGAUACCGGAAGGAUCGUAGCACCAAGUGUAGGUGUGACAAUAGCCUACCUUCCAGAGCCUGCCCUGGAGAGUAGUUGCCUCUUCACCUGGUAACAGCUCCGAAGGAACUAGAGCAUGGCACAGUCCUCACAGGAUCAGCCUUUGGCAUUAGAAACCCACUUUCUUUUUUUUCUUUUCUUUUCUUUUCUUUUUCUUUUCUUUUCUUUUUCCUUUCCUUUCCUUUCUUUUCUCUUUUCCUUUCCUUUCCCUCUUUUUCCCUUUCCUUUUCUUCUCAUUUUGAGAGGAGAGAGGGAGAGAGAGAGAGCACACACGUGUGAACCAGGGAGAGGGGCAGAGGGAGAGAGAGGAUCUUAAGCAGGCUCCACACUCAGCAUGGAGCCCAAUGGGGCUCAAUCCCAUGACCCUGGGAUUGUGACCUGAGCCCAAAAUCAAGAGUUGGACGCUCAACCGAUUGGGACACUCAGGCGGACUGAAAUCCACUUUCAAAUCUCCAGGCCAUGCCAUCAUUUAAAGAGUAAGGCUUGAAGAAGACAAAUCAAGGAGAAAAGAGAAGAACCAGGAAGGUCUGGGAUCCAGAAAGCCAAGAACAGUGAUUGGCUCUGUGUAAAGUGAAUAGGUAAGACAGGUAGGUGGACAGGGUCAUGAAGGAAUGGGCUUUUUCCAGGAGUUUAGCUGUGAGGGAGCUGGACAGUGGCAGACUGGCAAGGGAGAGAGAUUUUUUUAUUUUAAGAAGGGAGAAACAUGACCACGUUUAUAGGCUGCUGGGAAGGGUUCAGAAGAGGGGAGAAGAAAAAAAAAGGAGAGAAUAAAAGGCCAAAAGAAAUUGGAUCCA
This 1024-nucleotide long non-coding RNA is filed under the name Felis catus (domestic cat). RNAcentral's name for it is "lncRNA (ENSFCAG00000047145.1)". The record is from RNAcentral. Lineage: Eukaryota; Metazoa; Chordata; Mammalia; Carnivora; Felidae.